UGGGGAAUAUUGGACAAUGGGGGGAACCCUGAUCCAGCCAUGCCGCGUGUGUGAAGAAGGCCUUAUGGUUGUAAAGCACUUUAAGCGAGGAGGAGGGUACUGGUAUUAAUACUACCAGGUACUGGACGUUACUCGCAGAAUAAGCACCGGCUAACUCUGUGCCAGCAGCCGCGGUAAUACAGAGGGUUCGAGCGUUAAUCGGAUUUACUGGGCGUAAAGCGUGCGUAGGCGGCUAAUUGAGUCGGAUGUGAAAUCCCCGAGCUUAACUUGGGAAUUGCAUUCGAUACUGGUUAGCUAGAGUGUGGGAGAGGAUGGUAGAAGUCCAGGUGUAGCGGUGAAAUGCGUAGAGAUCUGGAGGAAUACCGAUGGCGAAGGCAGCCAUCUGGCCUAACACUGACGCUGAGGUACGAAAGCAUGGGGAGCAAACAGG
This 430-nucleotide ribosomal RNA is filed under the name Pseudomonadota bacterium. RNAcentral's name for it is "Proteobacteria bacterium partial 16S ribosomal RNA". It matches the Rfam family "Bacterial small subunit ribosomal RNA", at positions 355 to 776 of the family's 1533-position model. The record is from RNAcentral. Lineage: Bacteria; Pseudomonadati; Pseudomonadota.